This 334-nucleotide ribosomal RNA is filed under the name uncultured bacterium. Its description in RNAcentral is "bacterial SSU rRNA". It matches the Rfam family "Bacterial small subunit ribosomal RNA", at positions 568 to 898 of the family's 1533-position model. The record is from RNAcentral.
CUCGUAGGUGGCCAACUAAGUCAAACGUGAAAUCCCUCGGCUUAACCGGGGAACUGCGUCUGAUACUGGAUGGCUAGAGAUUGGGAGAGGGAUGCGGAAUUCCAGGUGUAGCGGUGAAAUGCGUAGAUAUCUGGAGGAACACCGGUGGCGAAGGCGGCAUCCUGGACCAACACUGACGCUGAGGAGCGAAAGCCAGGGGGGAGCAAACGGGAUUAGAUACCCCGGUAGUCCUGGCCCUAAACGAUGAAUGCUUGGUGUGGCGGGUAUCGAUCCCUGCCGUGCCGAAGCUAACGCAUUAAGCAUUCCGCCUGGGGAGUACGGUCGCAAGGCUGAA